UACGUAGGGGGCGAGCGUUGUCCGGAUUUAUUGGGCGUAAAGCGCUCGCAGGCGGUCCGAUGCGUCGUGCGUGAAAGCCCCCGGCUCAACUGGGGAGGGUCAUUCGAUACUGAUCGACUGGAAGGCAGGAGAGGGAAGCGGAAUUCCCGGUGUAGUGGUGAAAUGCGUAGAUAUCGGGAGGAACACCAGUGGCGAAGGCGGCUUCCUGGCCUGUUCUUGACGCUGAGGCGCGAAAGCUAGGGGAGCAAACGGG
This 253-nucleotide ribosomal RNA is filed under the name uncultured bacterium. RNAcentral's name for it is "partial 16S ribosomal RNA". It matches the Rfam family "Bacterial small subunit ribosomal RNA", at positions 524 to 776 of the family's 1533-position model. The record is from RNAcentral.